Molecule: long non-coding RNA, 323 nt
Filed under: Mytilus galloprovincialis (Mediterranean mussel)
Lineage: Eukaryota; Metazoa; Mollusca; Bivalvia; Mytilida; Mytilidae
Source: RNAcentral
CAAAUAUGCCACCAUAUUAUCAUCAAAUUACAUGUUUAUAGGAUUGAUAGCGCUUAGUAUUGCUCACAAACAUUUUUUUUAUUUUAAGAUUUGAAUAGGAUGUCAAGUAUAUUUUCGAUAAAUAUAUUCAGGCAGACUGAAGGAAAAGAUCUGAAAAGGACAAAUAAGCCAGUCAUUUUUUUACAGCGGGAACAAAAUAACAAAUACACUUUCUGUACAACUAUCUUCUGUGAAAUAGUAAUAUUUUUGUGUAAUUUCGCAAUGUCAUUCAGUCUUCUUUCAUAAUGGGACUUCUUAAACCGUGAAAAGCAAUUGUUUUAAAC